Molecule: ribosomal RNA, 497 nt
Filed under: uncultured bacterium
Lineage: Bacteria
Description: partial 16S ribosomal RNA
Rfam family: Bacterial small subunit ribosomal RNA
Source: RNAcentral
GAUGAACGCUGGCGGCGUGCCUAAUACAUGCAAGUCGAGCGAACGGACGAGAAGCUUUCUUCUCUGAUGUUAGCGUCGGACGGGUGAGUAACACGUGGAUAACCUACCUAUAAGACUGGGAUAACUUCGUGAAACCGGAGCUAAUACCGGAUUAUAUUUUGAACCGCAUGGUUCAAAAGUGAAAGACGGUCUUGCUUUCACUUAUAGAUGGAUCCGCGCUGCAUUAGCUAGUUGGUAAGGUAACGGCUUACCAAGGCAACGAUGCAUAGCCGACCUGAGAGGGUGAUCGGCCACACUGGAACUGAGACACGGUCCAGACUCCUACGGGAGGCAGCAGUAGGGAAUCUUGCGCAAUGGGCGAAAGCCUGACGGAGCAACGCCGCGUGAGUGAUGAAGGUCUUCGGAUCGUAAAACUCUGUUAUUAGGGAAGAACAUAUGUGUAAGUAACUGUGCACAUCUUGACGGUACCUAAUCAGAAAGCAACGGCUAACUACGUG